AACGCAACUUGCGCCAUGUAUAUGGCAUGUCUGUUUGAGUGCCGCAAAGGACUUGUAUUGCGUAUUGGCGGUUGUCUGUGCAUCUGUGCGGACUCUGUCUAAAUGCAGCCAGCAAUGGUCGUGGAUGUGACAGUCCGAGUGCUAAGCAUUCUUGGUCUGAUCGCAACUGCGGCCGAGGGUGGGCUAGUGGUGGAUGAUUGUGUGCAAACCAUAUCGUCACUCCCUAUCCCCUCCCCUACUUACUAUUGGCCUCAAAUCAGGCAGGAUCACCCGCUGAACUUAA
This 283-nucleotide unclassified non-coding RNA is filed under the name uncultured fungus. Its description in RNAcentral is "partial contains 5.8S ribosomal RNA, internal transcribed spacer 2, and large subunit ribosomal RNA". The record is from RNAcentral. Lineage: Eukaryota; Fungi.